CCCUUUCCAAAUAAAAACCCUAGAUAAUGAUAUGCUCCUAGGUCUCACAGGCAGCACUAAUGAUAAUAAUCCUUUUUCUUCGGUACCCCAUAAGCUGGAUUCCUUUAGAUUUUCCACCAGUGAUCUUGGAUUGCAGUGGAGGCAUCUCCCUGUAGAGAUGAAUUUGGGGCAUGUUCAAUGUACUUAAGAGGCAAAAAGGAAAUGGCUAGAUGUUGAAAUGGGAUACAAAGAUGUUUUGGGGAGCUUUGAUGGGUCGUUUUCAUUGAGAGCUGCCUAACUUAAAGGCGAAAAAUAAGACUUGUUUUCAUAUUUUACAAGGGGAAUUGUUUUUCUUAUCUUACUAUUAAAAUUACACAUAUUCUCCUUCUUAUAUAUAACUUUUUUUUUUAAUACUUGAUAAUGCAAUUAUAUUAAAAAAAUAAAAUAAAAACAUUCUUUGAGAUUUCACCAAUUUUUUAUUUUAAAAAUGUAUGUAUGUAUGUAUUAUUAUUAUUUUUUAGAAUGACUGAAUGAGUGUAUCUCUAUUUUGGAUAAUUAUUGAAGAAACUAUAUCUAUAAGAAAAUGAAUUAAAAUUGACUUUCAUUCAUUUGUUUAUAUAUUUAAAAUAUUAUGAUUAAUUAAUUAGUUACAUUAUUUUUCAAAUACACAAUUAAUUUUAAAAUAAUAUUUUUCUGGGACAAAUGUUAAGCUAGUUACUUGUUGGGCUAAAAUAAUGAAAGCCUACGGAAGAGAAGCUACUUAUAAAAUCACAGUAAUUUCCAGCUUCACCAGAGGAGGGCGCUAAAUCGGCCCGGCCCGGCCCAACUAUAUGUCUAUCACCUCAGAUUAAGAUCUGUAAGAUGUUAAUAUUAGUGCAUAUAUAAUAUAGAAAUCAAAGAACAUGCAACACUCUUCCUAUCAAUAAAAAAUAUAUAUAAAGGAAUAAUUCAUUAAAUUAAUAACAAUAAUUUAUUUUUAUUUAAUGACUUAUCAAACCUGUGAUUAUCACAUUGAAUCCACAUUCAGCCAUGCACAGAGAAAGAUAGAGAGAGAGAGCAAUGGAGAACAUGAAUCUCAAAGUAGAACAAGUAUGCAGAGUUGUAACAAAAACUCAAAAAUAACAUCAUAAAACAUCAUUCUUGAAAGAUCCCCAGAGAGGAAACCAAGAAUUAUAUCAAUACUUACAAAAUUAAACACUUGUUUUUCUUCCAUAUCUAUAUUCUUGUUUGCUUUGCCUGGCUUCACCCUGUGUGCCAUAUACAUGUAUAUAUAUAUAUAUAUACAUACACCUGUAAGUAUAGGCCAAAAGUGGGGAGAGAGCUCGCGAGAGAGCUGAGUUGGUUUUAAUGGACGGAGAUCACAAGCCUCCGCAAGCUCUGCCAAACUUGGUGGAGGUGUCGGUGCCACCCCGCCACCAAGUUUGGCGGAGUUAAGAAGAAGAAAGAAAUGGGUCAAGGAUCAUGGUGAAAAGUUGGGGUUUUGAGUCUCUAUAUGUAUUAUGUAUAUGUUCAGGUUACUCGUAUUCACUGUUCUUAGUGGCCCUUCCUUUCCAGUUUCAGGACGUGGAGCUGAGCUGUGUUGAAGCUACAAUUACAAGAAUGCCAUUAUCUCUGUAUUUCCAUUUAAUUCUAUUGGAUUACUAGUAUUUAUUAAUAAUUUAUUUAUCUAUUUUUACAUGAAGAGAAUCUACAAGUAAUGGAUAAAAAUGUAAAACACUAUACAGG
Molecule: long non-coding RNA, 1704 nt
Filed under: Manihot esculenta (cassava)
Lineage: Eukaryota; Viridiplantae; Streptophyta; Magnoliopsida; Malpighiales; Euphorbiaceae
Description: long non-coding RNA (MESC_LNC002542)
Source: RNAcentral